GGGCCCGCACAAGCGGUGGAGCAUGUGGUUUAAUUCGAUGCAACGCGAAAAACCUUACCUACUCUUGACAUCCAGCGAAACUUGGAGAGAUCCAGGUGUGCCUUAGGGAACGCUGAGACAGGUGCUGCAUGGCUGUCGUCAGCUCGUGUUGUGAAAUGUUGGGUUAAGUCCCGUAACGAGCGCAACCCUUGUCCUUAUUUGCCAGCACGUUAUGGUGGGAACUAUAAGGAGACUGCCGGUGACAAACCGGAGGAAGGUGGGGACGACGUCAAGUCAUCAUGGCCCUUACGAGUAGGGCUACACACGUGCUACAAUGGUAAGGACAAAGGGUCGCCAAGCGGUAACGUGGAGCUAAUCCCAUAAACCUUAUCGUAGUCCGGAUUGAAGUCUGCAACUCGACUUCAUGAAGUCGGAAUCGCUAGUAAUCG
This 428-nucleotide ribosomal RNA is filed under the name uncultured bacterium. RNAcentral's name for it is "bacterial SSU rRNA". It matches the Rfam family "Bacterial small subunit ribosomal RNA", at positions 917 to 1344 of the family's 1533-position model. The record is from RNAcentral.